RNAcentral lists this ribosomal RNA (449 nucleotides) under uncultured bacterium. RNAcentral describes it as "partial 16S ribosomal RNA". It matches the Rfam family "Bacterial small subunit ribosomal RNA", at positions 29 to 523 of the family's 1533-position model. The record is from RNAcentral.
AACGAACGCUGGCGGCAUGCCUAACACAUGCAAGUCGAACGAGAUCUUCGGGUCUAGUGUCGCACGGGUGCGUAACGCGUGGGAAUCUGCCCUUUGGUUCGGAAUAACAGUUGGAAACGACUGCUAAUACCGGAUGAUGACGAAAGUCCAAAGAUUUAUCGCCAGAGGAUGAGCCCGCGUAGGAUUAGCUAGUUGGUGUGGUAAAUGCUCACCAACGCGACGCUCCUUAGCUGGUAUGAGAGGAUGAUCAGCCACACUGGGACUGAGACACGGCCCAGACUCCUACGGGAGGCAGCAGUGGGGAAUAUUGGACAAUGGGCGAAAGCCUGAUCCAGCAAUGCCGCGUGAGUGAUGAAGGCCUUAGGGUUGUAAAGCUCUUUUACCCGGGACGAUAAUGACAGUACCGGGAGAAUAAGCUCCGGCUAACUCCGUGCCAGCCGCCGCCGUAA